GAAGGGUGCAAGCGUUACUCGGAAUUACUGGGCGUAAAGCGUGCGUAGGUGGUUUGUUAAGUCUGAUGUGAAAGCCCUGGGCUCAACCUGGGAACUGCAUUGGAAACUGGCUUACUAGAGUGCGGUAGAGGGGUGUGGAAUUCCCGGUGUAGCAGUGAAAUGCGUAGAUAUCGGGAGGAACAUCUGUGGCGAAGGCGACACCCUGGACCAGCACUGACACUGAGGCACGAAAGCGUGGGGAGCAAACAGGAUUAGAUACCCUGGUAGUCCACGCCCUAAACGAUGCGAACUGGAUGUUGGGGGCAACUUGGCCCUCAGUAUCGAAGCUAACGCGUUAAGUUCGCCGCCUGGGAAGUACGGUCGCAAGACUGAA
This 373-nucleotide ribosomal RNA is filed under the name uncultured bacterium. RNAcentral's name for it is "bacterial SSU rRNA". It matches the Rfam family "Bacterial small subunit ribosomal RNA", at positions 527 to 898 of the family's 1533-position model. The record is from RNAcentral.